Long non-coding RNA from Ipomoea triloba (trilobed morning glory), 1514 nucleotides. RefSeq lists it as uncharacterized. The transcript has 2 exons. The record is from RefSeq and is a predicted model, not a curated record. Lineage: Eukaryota; Viridiplantae; Streptophyta; Magnoliopsida; Solanales; Convolvulaceae.
UCUAUCUAUCACCAAGAAAGAAAGGUGUUGCGUGAAGAAAAGAGCCUACUUAGAUAGCCAAGGAUGAUCCCAAAAUGAUCAUUCAAGUUAUCUGCAGUGAAUAAUAUGGCUUCUUCAUUUAGAGGUCAUCCGAAAGCUAUCGCCGGAGACUCUUUUCCAUCAGGCAACACCUCCAUUUCUUUUCCAUGCAUUUAAUUUAUUCAUCUUAUGAUCUGUACAUAUGGAAAGAUUUGUGUGUUUAAUUUCUCAUCGCAAAUGGAGGAAAGGUAUUGCAUGGAGACUGAGAGCUUUUUGUUGUAGCCAAGGAUGACUUGCCUAGCUAGCUAAAAUCUUGCCAUUUCAAGGAAUUUUCGUGUAAACUUUGCGUUUGAUUUGUGGAAUUGCAUUAGUCAAAAUAGAAUUAUGGAAUGCAUCCUGGCCUGCAAUAGAUCAGAAGGUAUAGGCUAGUUGUCCGAGGCUACAACAGACGCUCUUCUUUUUCAUGCAAAACCUUCUCCUCCGCACGUAUAUAGAUCAGAUGGUCAGAUGGUGAAAUUAGUGUAGCUCAGAUCAGAUCAAUGAAUCAUGUAUGUGCAGAUAGUUUUUCUAUUUUUUUAAAGUGUGAGCGUAUAUGUAAUCCUUGACCAAAUUGGUUUUUCUAUUUUCUUGGAUCAUUAUCGUUGUGAUUUGGAGCCGCGAUUUCUUCAUCAUCGAUCGAGUAUUCGUCCAUGCAAAGCGAUCAGUAUUUUUUAUUUUUUUCGCUCGUUUUUUGAGUAUAAUAUUGCCUAUAUUUGAAUUGUGGAGUAUAUUUACACAUGUUUGUCCUCACGUGAAUAUAUAUAAAUCUGGCCUCCUUACAUAUAGUAUGUGGUUUCGAAUCAAAGAAAAUUAGGUAUUUUUUUGUUGGGGACCUCCAAUGUUUAUAUAUUAUUGUUUUUAUCUAAAUUUGAUCCCCUUACACUUAGUACGUUGUUUUUAUUAUUAUUGUGCAGUCUUUUUUUCCCAUAUAUAUCACUACCAUAACGAAUCUCUAGGAGUUAUAAAAAAAAAAACUAGGUAUAUAUGUUAGUGAUAGGGAUUAUUUCCUGGAUAUUGCGACCGUAUGGCAACCGACCUCUGAGCUACAUAUUAGCUGAGCAACACGCCUACCGGUCUAUCUGACCUUCUCCUCCCGGCCUAGAGAGCCCGCAAGGCAAUGCUCACGAGAACACUCAAGUUUGCCUGGUUCGACCUACUUAUCCUGGAGCGCCCCUCAUGUCUUGGCCCAUAGCCGCCAAGCACUUGGGCAAAAGGCAGGGGCCUAUGUUUGGCCCCGUGCAUGGCUUCCACGCGGCACCCAUGCCGCAAGACCGGCACCUAUCCCCUGACACCCUAUAAAUACCGCAUUUAAUGUUAGAAAGUGAACUUUUGGCUGUUUUCACUAUUAAAUAGUUAAGUAGUUCGGAAACCUCUGACCCACUGUCACGCUGACUGGACUACGCUUAGGGUAUAAAAUCAUUGUACCCGAUUCACAAGUAAUAAAAUAUAUUUGAUCG